GCAUAGUUGGGCUAGAUAUUCUCUGGGGCCUUCCACCCUUGGUCACUCUGAGUGAGUGUUUGAGGAAUUGUGUAGGUCAAAUUGAGUUUUGGCUAACUGUUAUUUAAAAAUUAAGAGCUGUAGACACCAGGCAGAUUGCCUAGAUAGAAUCCAGUUUUCCUGUUGCCCAGUACCAUAAGAUAUGGCGCCAUUUCUAACCUAACUGUAUGCAUAUUUCUCAUCUUAAUGCAAUAUCUGAUUAUUCUUAAUAACUUAAAUAUAUUCAAGUCAUUCCUCUCUUUUGUAUCCUCAGUUGUAAAAUAAAAGCCUGAAAAUGCUAACUAAGGAUGUUUGGAAAUGUUCACUCUUCAACAUGUGCACAACCCAUAAAAAAUAGAUAACACCUUGAGAGUUUAAUUCAGUGAGUCAGAUACUCCUUGUAUUGCUAACUCAUUCUUCUUCAAAAAUACUCUGGCUAGUCCUAAGUCUUACUAACUCUUAGAAGCCAGGGUAAUAUAAUUCUUAUAACUGCUGCAAAGUUGUCCUUUAAAGUUUUUCUACCAGAUGAUGUGUUACUCAGCUUGAAUAAACCUGAGAGACUGAUUCCACAAGUGUUACGAAGUAUUGAUUCAUUUCCUUUGAGUGUCUGGCUAAAGGGUGACUUGAGGAAAAUGUAAAGUUUUGUUCUUAAAUAAAUAUUGUUUAUAAAUGGAUCAUGUCAGCAACACUCAGAUUUCAUGAUUGCCUGGAGUGGGAACUGGAUAAUGAGGCUUGUCAGCUCCACUGGAUUUGCAGCAGGCCACCAGGGACUCCUCACAACAUUCAAGAUUACUGGCAGUUUACCAGCCUUUUCUCAAAUUCAUCUGUCUGUUGUGGUUGAACCUGGGGGCUGAUUCUCUCCAUGGCUGGAUGAUGAUCGGUCAUUGAAAGAUACAGUUGACUAGGAAAUAAAAUUCAAUUUGUCAGUUAAACA
Molecule: long non-coding RNA, 952 nt
Filed under: Parus major (Great Tit)
Lineage: Eukaryota; Metazoa; Chordata; Aves; Passeriformes; Paridae
Description: lncRNA (ENSPMJG00000001430.1)
Source: RNAcentral